CUGCAACUCGCCUACACGAAGCUGGAAUCGCUAGUAAUCGCGGAUCAGCACGCCGCGGUGAAUACGUUCCCGGGCCUUGUACACACCGCCCGUCACACCAUGAGAGUCUGUAACACCCAAAGCCGGUGGGAUAACCUUUAUAGGAGUCAGCCGUCUAAGGUAGGACAGAUGAUUAGGGUGAAGUCGUAACAAGGUAAC
This 198-nucleotide ribosomal RNA is filed under the name uncultured bacterium. RNAcentral's name for it is "partial 16S ribosomal RNA". It matches the Rfam family "Bacterial small subunit ribosomal RNA", at positions 1305 to 1500 of the family's 1533-position model. The record is from RNAcentral.